This 406-nucleotide ribosomal RNA is filed under the name uncultured bacterium. Its description in RNAcentral is "partial 16S ribosomal RNA". It matches the Rfam family "Bacterial small subunit ribosomal RNA", at positions 30 to 526 of the family's 1533-position model. The record is from RNAcentral.
AUUGAACGCUGGCGGCAGGCCUAACACAUGCAAGUCGAGCGAGCGGCGGGCGGGAGAGUAAUGUAGGGGGAUCUGCGUGAUGGAGGGGGAUAAAUACUGGAAGCGGUAGCUAAUACCGCAUACUCGCAGAUGACCCCAUAUGGGAUUAGCUUGUAGGUGAGGUAAGGGCUCACCUGGGCGACGAUCCCUAGCUGGUCUGAGAGGAUGAUCAGCCACACUGGGACUGAGACACGGCCCAGACUCCUACGGGAGGCAGCAGGGGGGAAUAUUGCACAAUGGGCGCAAGCCUGAUGCAGCCAUGCCGCGUGUAUGAAGAAGGCCUUCGGGUUGUAAAGUACUUUCAGUCGGGAGGCGUUACUGACAGAAGAAGCACCGGCUAACUCCGUGCCAGCAGCCGCGGUAAUUC